This 1360-nucleotide long non-coding RNA is filed under the name Junco hyemalis (dark-eyed junco). RNAcentral's name for it is "lncRNA (ENSJHYG00000002306.1)". The record is from RNAcentral. Lineage: Eukaryota; Metazoa; Chordata; Aves; Passeriformes; Passerellidae.
CCAACCCGUCUGUCUGUCUGUCUGUCCAGGCCGCCCAACCGGCGUCAGACCGAGGAGGAGCUGCAGGCGGCCACCGAGGACCUGGAGACGCUGCAGCUGCAGCCCCGAGGGCAGGGGACACCCGGGGACCUGGGGACACCUCUGGGGGUGCCCACGAGCCCAGGGACACCUCAUGGGGUGGCCUCAAGCCCAGGGACACUGCAGAUGGUGGCCAUGAGCCCAGGGACACUGCAGGUCACCCCUGGGAACCUGGGGACACUUCAAGGGGUGGCAACGAGCCCAGGGACAGUUCAGAUGGUGGCCACGAGCCCAGGGACACCACAGGUCACCCCUGGGAACCUGGGGACAUCAAAGGUGGUGGCCACGAGCCCAGGGACUGUGCAGAUGGUGGCCAUGAGCCCAGGGACACUUCAGGUCACCCCUGGGAACUUGGGGACACCUCAGACUCUGCAGAUGGUGGCCACGAGUCCAGGGACACCACAGGUCACCCUUGGGAGCUUGGGGACACUUCAAGGUGUGACCAUGAGCCCAGGGACACUACAGGCCACACCUGGGAACCUGGGGACUGCACAGGUGGGGACCCUGCAGCCCCCAGGCUUGGGGACACUACAACCACAGCCCCAAAGCCUGGAGCCACCACAGGUGACACCAGGAGCCCCCAACCUCCAGGGGACACUGCAGGUGGCACCAGGAGCUGUGCAGGUGCUGCCUGGGGGGCUGCAGGUGGCCUCAGGAGACUUGGGGACACCGCAGGGGACAGUGGAGCUGGGGACACUGCCAGCAGAGCUGAGGGACCUGGAGCUGCUGCCAGGGGGACAGGACAUGCAGGAGCUGCUGCAGGGGCUGCAGCCACCCUCGGGGACCUUGGGGACGUUGGGGACACUGGGAGUGGCCGAGCUGAUGCCGGACGUGGUGGCGACCUUGGAGGAGAGCCUGGAGCAGAGCUUCCAGCUGAGCCCUGGUGAGUGUUGGGGCUGGGGGGGGACAGAGGUGUCCCCUGGGCAGGGAGCUGUCCCCUAUGGGGACUGAGCUGUCCCUUUGGGCACUGAGGUGUCCCCUGAGCCUUGCUCUGUCCCCUCUGGGCAUUGUCCCCUGGGCACUGAGGUGUCCCCUGAGCCCUGUCCUGUCCCCCUGGUCACUGCCUGGUCCACUGGGCACUGCCUUGUCCCUACUGCCCUGUCCCCUGGGCACUGCCCUGUCCCCACAGAGCUGUCCCCUGUCCCUGGGCCCUGCCCUGUCCCCUAUGGGCACAGAGAUGUCCCCUGAGCCCUGCCGUGUCCCCCUGGCACUGAGGUGUCCCCCAGGGCACAGAGCUGUCCCCUGUCCCCACUGCCCUGUCCCCCUUGGCACUCAGUUGUCC